AUCAAUCCACAGGACUUAUCAGCAGAACUCUUCUUAAACCUUUUUUAUGAUAGACUGACGAUACACUUAAUUUAAUACACACUCUCAGAAAUAGAGGUACGAGAGAAGAACAUUUUUGUACCUAUAGGUACAUUUUUUGUAAAUGUUCCCUUAAAAGUACAAUACUGGUCUUUAAAAGUCCAGAAAUGCCCCUUGAAAGGUUCAAUUUGAAAUAAAGUACAAAUCUGUACCAUUUUGACCUGUACUGCAGUGACAGUGGCAGAAUAUGGUAAUGGGUCAGCAUGGGAAAAUCUGGAUGGGCCUGGUUAAUUGUAAAAUUCAUAUGAGAUGUGAGUGUGCUCAUAAAAGCUACAUGUUAUAAUCAAAUCUGUUGGUCCUCUCCUCUGUACGUAAAUUAUCCUAUGAUGCAAAGAAUAUCUGUAACCUACUUUUGUGUAAGUUAUGUUAAAUUAUAUUAAAAAAAACACACACACACAAUGACAUGCAGGCACAACCAAAUGAUGUUAAAAAAAAACUGGUCCAUUUCCAUUUUAUUAAGUUCCAGUUAUAAUUUUUAAUGUUUUAAAUCUUGGUUGUAGCCUUCAAAAACGUGAAAUCAUUUUACUGUUAUGUUUGGCCAUUUACUUUUUCGCUUUUACUACAUCCUAGAAUUGUUCAUUAAUUGUGAGGUUUUUAUGGAAUUUGCAACAUCAAGUUAAACCGAGGUUCUUUGGAAGUUAAAAUGUCAAGCAGAUUUUUAUGUUACGGUGACUACAUUUUGUAAGUUACAAAUAUAGUUCGCCAAGACAGCAUAACGGUUUCUAAACAACUGCGCAUUAAUACCACAAUGUUGUAUUUUCAUGUGUCAAGUUCGCAACGCGCAUUAAUCCCAAAGGCUGAAAAGCCAGCAGCCAUGAGUGCUCCGCCUCCGCGCUGACUAGCGUUGACGCAGAAAAUGACUCUCAGGGGGUUAUCGAUGGAGGAGCUCCUUAAAAAGUUGAUGGAAGAAGGCAUUGAUGUGUCAGACGACGAGGCGCAAAGGUUUAGAGGUACCCAACCCACUCAGACUACAUCCAGGUCAUCAAAGCCCUGAUUGUGAAGUAUCCUUUCUUAAGAGAUGUACACGGAAAUGGUUAUGACACCUGGCACAGCCAACUCAAGAGAAAGUUCAAAGCAGAACGGGCUCCCCUAAUCAGCAACGAAGAAGUGAACUGGGUUAAAGAAAAGUUUGGACGCACGCAGAAACAUCGGACCACAGAGGAAUCCAGCAGCUCCUGUCUGAAGAGACUGAAGC
Molecule: long non-coding RNA, 1273 nt
Organism: Oreochromis aureus
Lineage: Eukaryota; Metazoa; Chordata; Actinopteri; Cichliformes; Cichlidae
Exons: 3
Source: RefSeq, a predicted model, not a curated record